UUGAACGCUGGCGGAAUGCUUUACACAUGCAAGUGGAGCGGCAGCGCGGGGGCAACCCUGGCGGCGAGCGGCGAACGGGUGAGUAACAUAUUGGAACGUACCCUGUCGUGGGGGAUAACACAGCGAAAGCUGUGCUAAUACCGCAUACGACCUGAGGGUGAAAGCGGGGGAUCGCAAGACCUCGCGCGAUAGGAGCGGCCGAUAUCGGAUUAGCUUGUUGGUGAGGUAAAGGCUCACCAAGGCGACGAUCCGUAGCUGGUCUGAGAGGACGACCAGCCACACUUGAACUGAGACACGGUCCAGACUCCUACGGGAGGCAGCAGUGGGGAAUUUUGGACAAUGGGCGCAACCCUGAUCCAGCCAUUCCGCGUGAGUGAAGAAGGCCUUCGGGUUGUAAAGCUCUUUCAGCAGGGACGAAACGGUGGCUCCUAAUACUAGCUACUAAUGACGGUACCUGAAGAAGAAGCACCGGCUAACUACGU
This 482-nucleotide ribosomal RNA is filed under the name uncultured bacterium. RNAcentral's name for it is "bacterial SSU rRNA". It matches the Rfam family "Bacterial small subunit ribosomal RNA", at positions 30 to 506 of the family's 1533-position model. The record is from RNAcentral.